CCUACGGGGGGCAGCAGUAGGGAAUAUUGCUCAAUGGGGGAAACCCUGAAGCAGCAACGCCGCGUGGAGGAUGAAGGUUUUCGGAUUGUAAACUCCUUUUGUUAGAGAAGAUAAUGACGGUAUCUAAUGAAUAAGCACCGGCUAACUCCGUGCCAGCAGCCGCGGUAAUACGGGGGGUGCAAGCGUUACUCGGAAUCACUGGGCGUAAAGAGCGCGUAGGCGGAUAGCAAGUCAGAUGUGAAAUCCUAGGGCUUAACCAUAGAACUGCAUUUGAAACUGUUAUUCUAGAGUAUGGGAGAGGUAGGUGGAAUUCUUGGUGUAGGGGUAAAAUCCGUAGAGAUCAAGAGGAAUACUCAUUGCGAAGGCGACCUGCUAGAACAUAACUGACGCUGAUGCGCGAAAGCGUGGGGAGCAAACAGGAUUAGAUACCCGUGUAGUC
Molecule: ribosomal RNA, 439 nt
Filed under: uncultured bacterium
Lineage: Bacteria
Description: partial 16S ribosomal RNA
Rfam family: Bacterial small subunit ribosomal RNA
Source: RNAcentral